Long non-coding RNA from Mustela erminea (ermine), 672 nucleotides. RefSeq lists it as uncharacterized. NCBI's taxonomy places the organism in Eukaryota, Metazoa, Chordata, Mammalia, Carnivora, Mustelidae. The transcript has 5 exons. The record is from RefSeq and is a predicted model, not a curated record.
GAAAACUGAGCCUCAGAGAGGGGAGGUGACAUGCUCAAAGUCAUUGGAGCUACGGUGAGAGCUGGGAUUCCGCCCCUGAUGGUCUCAUGGGGUCAUGCGGACGAAGACUCACAUUAUGAAUUGCCUCCCUGGAGAAACCACCCCCUCCUUCGCCAAAGAAGGCCUUGAUCCAAUAAACCAACUUUUAACGGAACAGCAUCUUUCAAUCGAAGGAUGAUGGCAACUUAUCUCUGGGUCCUAGCUCUGUGGUGACAUGAAUUCUCUGAGCUGCUCAAUCUCACUCAAGCUACAUAGUUCAGGAGGGACACUCUCCUCCUGCUUUACCAACUGCUCCCUCUUCUGAGCAUGCUCACAGACCUUCCAGCCACCCUGGGCCCUCCCUUUCACCAUGUUGCCUCCAUGAAGAGGAGUGUCCUGAAGCCCAGAGAGGAAGACGGAUUCACGCAAGGCCACCCAGCAAGUCUGGUUACUUCAUCCCAAGCAGAACAUCUCCCCUCUUAGCUAUGAUCAGAAAGAGACUUGGCAUCAGCAUGGACCCUUCCGUAAAGAUUCUGGCUCUUUCUGCUGCUGAAAUCGGAAAGAUGAAUGAGUGGUACCGUGGAGCCAGAAAAAGUAUGAGAUAAAGUGAUGGCACCCUCCUCUCAUUUUCUCUUUCUACUAAAAGAAGACAGC